RNAcentral lists this transfer RNA (105 nucleotides) under Burkholderiaceae bacterium. Its description in RNAcentral is "tRNA-Val". The record is from RNAcentral. Lineage: Bacteria; Pseudomonadati; Pseudomonadota; Betaproteobacteria; Burkholderiales; Burkholderiaceae.
GGCCCUGGAGCGCCUGGACCGGCCGCUGCAUCCUGACGAGGUGCGGGCGGCGUUCGCACCGCUGCUCGGCGAACGCUUCAAGUUCAAGUCCUGGCAGGGCCGCCA